UACGGAGGAUGCAAGCGUUGUCCGGAUUUAUUGGGUUUAAAGGGUGCGUAGGCGGAUAAUUAAGUCAGUGGUGAAAGCCGGCAGCUCAACUGUCGAACUGCCAUUGAAACUGAUUGUCUUGAGUAUGGUUGAAGUGGGCGGAAUGUAUCAUGUAGCGGUGAAAUGCUUAGAUAUGAUACAGAACACCAAUUGCGAAGGCAGCUCACUAAGCCAUUACUGACGCUGAGGCACGAAAGCGUGGGGAUCAAACAGG
This 253-nucleotide ribosomal RNA is filed under the name uncultured bacterium. Its description in RNAcentral is "partial 16S ribosomal RNA". It matches the Rfam family "Bacterial small subunit ribosomal RNA", at positions 524 to 776 of the family's 1533-position model. The record is from RNAcentral.